This 373-nucleotide ribosomal RNA is filed under the name uncultured bacterium. RNAcentral's name for it is "bacterial SSU rRNA". It matches the Rfam family "Bacterial small subunit ribosomal RNA", at positions 524 to 898 of the family's 1533-position model. The record is from RNAcentral.
CACGUAGGGCGCAAGCGUUGCUCGGAUUUACUGGGCGUAAAGGGUCCGUAGGCGGGACUGUAAGUCGGGUGUGAAAUCUCGGAGCUUAACUCCGAAGCUGCGCUCGAUACUGCAGCCCUAGAGUACAGAAGAGGAGAGUGGAAUUCCCGGUGUAGCGGUGGAAUGCGUAGAUAUCGGGAGGAAUAUCGAUGGCGCAGACAGCUCUCUGGUCUGUAACUGACGCUGAGGGACGAAAGCGUGGGAAGCAAACAGGAUUAGAUACCCUGGUAGUCCACGCCGUAAACGAUGUAGGCUGGGUAUCGGAAGCACGGCUUUCGGUGCCGCAGGUAACCCGUUAAGCCUACCGCCUGGGGACUACGGCCGCAAGGUUGAA